AUUGAACUCUGGCGGCAGGCCUAACACAUGCAAGUCGAGCGAGCGGCGGACGGGGGAGUAAUGUAUGGGGACUGCCCGAUAGAGGGGGAUAACUAUUGGAAACGGUGGCUAAUACCGCAUACGGUCGGAUAACCCAUAUGGGAUUAGCUAGUAGGUAAGGUAAUGGCUUACCUAGGCGACGAUCCCUAGCUGGUCUGAGAGGAUGAUCAGCCACACUGGGACUGAGACACGGCCCAGACUCCUACGGAGGCAGCAGUGGGGAAUAUUGCACAAUGGGCGCAAGCCUGAUGCAGCCAUGCCGCGUGUAUGAAGAAGGCCCUAGGGUUGUAAAGUACUUUCAGUCGGGAGGCGUUACCGACAGAAGAAGCACCGGCUAACUCCGUGCCAGCCGCCGCGGUAAUUC
RNAcentral lists this ribosomal RNA (403 nucleotides) under uncultured bacterium. Its description in RNAcentral is "partial 16S ribosomal RNA". It matches the Rfam family "Bacterial small subunit ribosomal RNA", at positions 30 to 526 of the family's 1533-position model. The record is from RNAcentral.